This 369-nucleotide unclassified non-coding RNA is filed under the name fungal sp. Its description in RNAcentral is "partial internal transcribed spacer region". The stretch from base 1 to 46 matches the Rfam family "Eukaryotic small subunit ribosomal RNA", at positions 1786 to 1831 of the family's 1831-position model. The record is from RNAcentral. Lineage: Eukaryota; Fungi.
AAGUCGUAACAAGGUAUCCGUAGGUGAACCUGCGGAUGGAUCAUUAACGAUACGUGCUGUUUGCAAAAACACACGUUCCUACCAACCAAACCUGUGCGAGGAGAGUGGAAGGGGAAAAAACGAUUGUUUGAACCUUUGCUCUCCGUUUCUUUCUAUUUCUUUUUUCUUUACAAACCUUAAAACCCCAUUUCUUCGUUUUCGAAGGACUGAAACCACACUGUUUCAAAUCGAAAGUAAGCGUCGAAUCGGUUGCAUUUGGUCUCUAUUAGACUCCUUUCAUUUAGGAGUCGAACGGACUCGCAACCUACCCGACUCUUCGAUUAGAUAUGAAAUCCUGUACAACUCUUAGCAACGGAUAUCUUGGUUCUC